This is a long non-coding RNA of Heterocephalus glaber (naked mole-rat), 1966 nucleotides long. Lineage: Eukaryota; Metazoa; Chordata; Mammalia; Rodentia; Bathyergidae. The record is from Ensembl.
AGUGUGUGCAUAAAUCUCAGCUCCUUGACUGACUGCAUCUGCACCUAAGGGAAGCUUCUCUGUCGCAAGUGAGGACUUGUGGCCACCCUGACCUGGGUGACACUUCAUCUUCCCUUUUGCCUCUGUCCCUCCAGCUGUGGCUCUGUGGAGUAAGACACGUGGUGGUGGCUGUUGGUGGAGCCUCAGAUGCCAGCGGUCACAAAAGACCCAGCCCCUCGCUGUGCACAGAGCACUUUCCCUGUGUUUCCAGCCUGGCAGCAUCCAGGCAGCAAGCAGAGGGCUGUGCAGAGGCUAGCAUGCUCCAGCCCUCAAGCUGUACUCUCCUCCCGCUCGCCUGCAGCUCAGCUGAGUGGAGGGCUCUCUGGUCCCCUGCAACUUCCCUGAGGAUGGUCUCGAAGGCAGGGAGCAGCCAGCCAACAGGCGCUGCGGGUGCACAGCCUCUCCCAGCACCCUGCCCACUCACUCUUGAGAAGCCCUGUGUCGUCAGUGUGGUGACGCGCCCUAGGAAGUUGCCCAUGUAUGGCUCCCCAAGUGAGUGAUAUCAUCACAAUCCGUGGCUCUGUCUAAAUGGGAUCAUUGGUGAAAUGAGAUUAGAGACGUCCAUCUGAGGAGGCAGCAGACCGAGCACCUGCUCUCUUGAAUCGAUGUCCCGGGGGACGGCACCGCGCACUAAUCAAGGCGUCCGUCUCCAUGGCUAAUUCCGUUAGCAGCCACGCGCCUGCCUCUUCCGCUCCGUGCCAGGCAGCCCCCACAUCCACAUGCAGUCCACUCCAGAUCCGUGUUUUCUAUUAUGCUUGAAUAUAUGGGACAUGCAUCUCGGUCCUCUGCCCGCCACCCUGCUGCAGUGUGCUUGUUUUGCAGAGCUGUGUGGUAGCCUGGCUGGACUCAGGACUGACCGGAGCAGGGACACACGCUGGGUCCUCCUGGCCUCCCUCCAGCCCAAGCACGCAGCCCCUGUCUGCCUGCUGAGAAUCCUCUGCUCCUUGCAUUUGGAUGCUGCCAGCAGUGCAGCUGCCACCGAGCCUCGGAGACGGAGGAGAUGCAGAUGGGCUUCCUUUGUGAUGCCUGGUGCAGGGGGAGCUGGUGCCCCUCGCAGCUGCAGGAGGCAGAGGAAAGGAGAAGAGGAGAUGCUGGGCUGAGGAGCCUGCUGUGAGGCAUUGCCUGCAUUUGUCUUCAUGGGCGGCAGAAAGGCACUUCUGAAGCAGAGCGGAGGAUCUGGUGCUUGGUGCUCGGCUCUGGGGAGGCUCUGAGGCUGUGGAGGGCACAGUUGGCUGGGGCUACCUGAGGCACUGGGCGCCAGCGCACACCCCAGAUGGCUCGGCCACAGGGACGUGGUAGUAGGUGAGGGUGAGGGCACUCUAAUCCUCCUUCCCUUGCUUGUGCUCUGCUGAUACUUUGCGUUGGGUUCGCUUGCUCUUCCUUGUGCAGAAACAGGUGCCUCGCUAAACAGAAUGGGAGGGUCCAGCCCCUUCCCCACGAGGCUGAAUGUUGUGCACUAGGCAUCUGGUAACUCCUUGCUCACAAGUUCCUGCUGUCUCCUGCAGAGGUUACGCUAGGGAGGACCAAGCACGCCCAGACAGGAGCUGUCAUUGGCCUCCCCCGUCCCAGUGGAGUUUGACAGCCCCAUUCAUAAUUUUGUCCCCAGAGCUCGGAUGUAUGGCCCAACAGAGGCUCGGUGUUAAAAUGGAGUGCUCUGUGGCUUUGGAUCUGCUCACAACUAUGUCAGGGCAGGGCAGCAGGACUUUUUCUAGCCAUGUGGGUCUCUUGGACAUCCAGCAACAAGUAUUUUCCUACCAGAUCAUCUGUCACAGAGGCCAGAUCUCAGGGAGCACUCACACAUGUGACUGUGUGAUUCCUGGACACGGGCAGAUGCCAGCCUUCUGCAGGGUCUGUGGCCCAGGCAGAAGAUGCUAUUUGGAGGAACUGCACGGAUGAGAAGCUCUCAGGUCAUGGCGCGAGCAAGACG